AUGCAGGGGAGAUAGGUGCCAUGACCCUGAAGGUGGUUUUCUCACGGGAGGCUUAGUUCCUGCACUCCGAAUGUAACUGAGCCCUGCAAUUUCCCCAAAUUCGAGGAUAUUUGACUAUGUAGUUUGUGGUAAUUGGGGACUGCAUUUGCAAUCUACCCUAA
This is a small nuclear RNA of Rattus norvegicus (Norway rat), 161 nucleotides long. Ensembl annotates it as U1 spliceosomal RNA. NCBI's taxonomy places the organism in Eukaryota, Metazoa, Chordata, Mammalia, Rodentia, Muridae. The record is from Ensembl.